RNAcentral lists this ribosomal RNA (256 nucleotides) under uncultured bacterium. Its description in RNAcentral is "partial 16S ribosomal RNA". It matches the Rfam family "Bacterial small subunit ribosomal RNA", at positions 524 to 776 of the family's 1533-position model. The record is from RNAcentral.
UACGGGGGGAGCAAGCGUUGUUCGGAUUUACUGGGCGUAAAGGGCGCGUAGGCGGUCGUGACAAGUCACUUGUGAAAUCUCCGGGCUUAACUCGGAACGGUCAAGUGAUACUGUCGGACUAGAGUACAGAAGGGGGCAACUGGAAAUUCUCGGUGUAGCGGUGAAAUGCGUAGAUAUCGAGAGGAACACCUGCGGCGAAGGCGGGUUGCUGGGCUGAUACUGACGCUGAGGCGCGAAAGCCAGGGGAGCGAACGGG